AGGAGUGAGCAGUGUUACGAGGCAGACACGUCAUGAUCGCGGUACGAGAGGUCGACAUGUUUUCGCUGACGCUGUAAUGUAAGACAGCGGUGCACGGUCAGAUUAAGUUUGGUGGGUUUAGUGUACAUUAACAUUGUUGUGUGAGACUGGAGACGAGGUUAAAGCAGAAGUUCGGUCGAUUGCGUCAUCGGACAGAGAACGGUGUUGGAGACUGGCUGGGAACGCGAGAGAGAGAGUCGUUGGAGCCGUUUUUGAAAAGCAUCGAGACGACUGCUACAAAGCAAGUUGGAUCAUCUUGUCUGGACUCUACAGAACAUACUACAGCCCAUGUAUUGCUGUUUUAUUCACCUCUGUUUUUCUGUUUUUAUCUGUGAUAAAGAGUGUGUAACAGUGUUCUCCAGGUGUUGAAUAAAAAGAAUGGCUAAA
This is a long non-coding RNA of Xyrauchen texanus (razorback sucker), 426 nucleotides long. RefSeq lists it as uncharacterized. The record is from RefSeq and is a predicted model, not a curated record. NCBI's taxonomy places the organism in Eukaryota, Metazoa, Chordata, Actinopteri, Cypriniformes, Catostomidae. The transcript has 2 exons.